ACUAUUUUGGCAGAUUAGUGCAAUAAAUUUAGAAUUUAUGUAUAUAGGUUUUCUAUAAAUAGUA
This 64-nucleotide transfer RNA is filed under the name Metopina sagittata. RNAcentral's name for it is "tRNA-Leu". The record is from RNAcentral. Lineage: Eukaryota; Metazoa; Arthropoda; Insecta; Diptera; Phoridae.